GAUGAACGCUGGCGGCGUGCCUAAUACAUGCAGGUCGAGCGGUAACACUUCGGGUGACGAGCGGCGGACGGCUGAGUAACGCGUAGGAAUGUACCCCAGAGUGAGGGAUAAGCACCGGAAACGGUGUCUAAUACCGCAUAACCUCUUCGGAGAAAAGCUUCGGCGCUUUGGGAACGGCCUGCGUAUGAUUAGCUUGUUGGUGAGGUAAAAGCUCACCAAGGCUAUGAUCAUUAGCUGGUCUGAGAGGAUGAUCAGCCAGACUGGGACUGAGACACGGCCCAGACUCCUACGGGAGGCAGCAGUAGGGAAUUUUCCACAAUGGACGAAAGUCCGAUGGAGCAACGCCGCGUGCAGGAUGAAGGCCUUCGGGUUGUAAACUGCUUUUAUCUGUGAAGAUUAUGACGGUAGCAGAUGAAUAAGGAUCGGCUAACUCCGUGCCAGCCGCCGCAGUAA
Molecule: ribosomal RNA, 453 nt
Filed under: uncultured bacterium
Lineage: Bacteria
Description: partial 16S ribosomal RNA
Rfam family: Bacterial small subunit ribosomal RNA
Source: RNAcentral